Non-coding RNA from Capsicum annuum, 107 nucleotides. Lineage: Eukaryota; Viridiplantae; Streptophyta; Magnoliopsida; Solanales; Solanaceae. The record is from Rfam.
UUUGGAGAUGUGGACAGAGUUUGAGAAGAUCCUUGAAUCAUUCCCAUGCUUUAUAUGAAUUUUCCUUUUGAUUUCUAUUCAAAGCUCAAGAUUUCAUUCUUCACCUU